AUUGAACGCUGGCGGCAGGCCUAACACAUGCAAGUCGAGCGAGCGGCGGACGGGUGAGUAAUGCCUAGGAACUGCCUGGUAGUGGGGGAUAACGUCCGGAAACGGUGGCUAAUACCGCAUACUAUCGGAUAACCCAUAUGGGAUUAGCUUGUAGGUGAGGUAACGGCUCACCUAGGCGACGAUCCCUAGCUGGUCUGAGAGGAUGAUCAGCCACACUGGGACUGAGACACGGCCCAGACUCCUCCGGAGGCAGCAGUGGGGAAUAUUGCACAAUGGGCGCAAGCCUGAUGCAGCCAUGCCGCUUGUAUGAAGAAGGCCUUCGGGUUGUAAAGUACUUUCAGUCGGGAGGCGUUACCGACAGAAGAAGCACCGGCUAACUCCGUGCCAGCCGCGGCGGUAAUUC
Molecule: ribosomal RNA, 403 nt
Filed under: uncultured bacterium
Lineage: Bacteria
Description: partial 16S ribosomal RNA
Rfam family: Bacterial small subunit ribosomal RNA
Source: RNAcentral